AAAAAGGCGAUGAACGGAAAGAGUAAGUAUGUAUUCUGCCGCAGAGAGGGAGUGUCACCGGCUGCAAGCAUUCCCGGCAAGGACAGCUGAAAGUGCCUCCGGGAGCUGAUCCGGUGAAAGGAAGAAAUUCCCUUUAACCGGGUACGUUUACGCACGUUACGCGAUAUAAGUGCAGGCUGUUAUUUUUUAUGGCCUGAAGCAGAGUGGAACCGCGGCUUUAACCGUCUCUUAG
Molecule: non-coding RNA, 232 nt
Filed under: Lachnospiraceae bacterium
Lineage: Bacteria; Bacillati; Bacillota; Clostridia; Lachnospirales; Lachnospiraceae
Description: T-box sequence
Rfam family: T-box leader
About the family: Uncharged tRNA acts as the effector for transcription antitermination of genes in the T-box leader family. T-boxes are found upstream of many aminoacyl-tRNA synthetase genes and some amino acid biosynthetic genes usually in Gram-positive bacteria.
Source: RNAcentral